Molecule: ribosomal RNA, 172 nt
Filed under: uncultured cyanobacterium
Lineage: Bacteria; Bacillati; Cyanobacteriota
Description: partial 16S ribosomal RNA
Rfam family: Bacterial small subunit ribosomal RNA
Source: RNAcentral
CCUACGGGAGGCAGCAGUAGGGAAUUUUCCGCAAUGGGCGAAAGCCUGACGGAGCAAUACCGCGUGAGGGAAGACUGCCUAUGGGUUGUAAACCUCUUUUUUCAGGGAGGAAUAAAAUGACGUGUACCUGAAGAAUAAGCAUCGGCUAACUCCGUGCCAGCAGCCGCGGUAA